This 514-nucleotide long non-coding RNA is filed under the name Mytilus galloprovincialis (Mediterranean mussel). The record is from RNAcentral. Lineage: Eukaryota; Metazoa; Mollusca; Bivalvia; Mytilida; Mytilidae.
UUCCUUAAACAUCAACAAACAGCACUGAUACGUCGAAGCUAUGCAAUCUAUGUACAACAAAAGACUAUGUACAACAAAAGACAUCAAAUCAAUGUUUUAAUACAGAAUUUCCUAGUAACUAUCAAUGGUUAUGUGUGGUUUUGACAUUUCUUAUUUAAUCCUUUAUUAAGAAGUUUUGUCAAAUACAAUGGGUUCCCCGACUCUGUAAAGAACACAAAAAUACAAGAUAAUAACAAAAAAUAAAAAACAAACACACAACACCUUAUAAAAAAUGAACAUCACUAUAAACAAUUUGAACGAAAUUGCAACACAAACCAAACAAAAAACUCCUGUAGACUUUCGAUGUUCCGUGUAAAUAUUAAGUCCAGGUUUUAUGAGUGCAUCAACACUAUAACAAAAAGGAGCUAAAGAUACCAUAGGGACAGUUAAUCUCAUAAAUCGAAAAUAAACUGACAACGCCAUGGCUAAAAAUAAACAAACAACAAUACACAAAAGAUAACAUAGAAAAAUAAAG